RNAcentral lists this unclassified non-coding RNA (1300 nucleotides) under Bombus terrestris (buff-tailed bumblebee). RNAcentral describes it as "misc RNA ENSBTSG00005037886.1". The record is from RNAcentral. Lineage: Eukaryota; Metazoa; Arthropoda; Insecta; Hymenoptera; Apidae.
AGGAGAACAAGACAGAGGAGAGAAGAACGGAAGGAAAAUGGCGAUGGUGCUCGCGGUGAGAGGACAGACUUUUGAAGACGAUAUCGGUAGGUGGUUGCACGGCGAGUAGUUAAGCGAACAAAGUGUGUUUCACAGCGGAGAAAUGGUAUGUUUCACUGAGGACAAAUAUUCAAGGUACAGCGGCAUAUUAAGUCGCACGUACUUCGAUCCGAGAGACCGUUGGAAUGCAAUUCGUUUUUCGAAGCGUAACACUCUACUCGUACCUGCAUACGUAUAACAUACACGAACAUGCACGCGCGCGAACACGUACACACACACACACACACACACACACACACGCACGCAUACGCAAAACAUGUAUACACAGAAUGGACACGAACGAUACUUUGAUUGAGCUAUAUUAUACUAGGCCAUGCGAGAAACGAAGAAAGCUGAACGGACGGAAGAAAGAAGGAAGAGAAAGAAAAGAGAAAAAUAGUCCAUUGGAAACGAGGGCGGCAAUGCGGUGGCGGCUGCCUCUGCCACUCUAGUUGAUCGGGAUUCGUUUUAUUAAUUAAUUAAUUCAGUAAUUAAUUAAUUAAUCGAAAACUCAUUCAUAUAGUGUUGUGCACUGUUUUAGGUGCUUUUCAUUUUUUGGCUGUGUGAAGCUUCAACUGAAGUAAUUUAAAGGGCAGAGGAAGAGGAAGAAGAAAAAAAAUGAUGUAAUUAUCGUAUUGGCUUUGCAUAAUCACUCUCGACAAUUUUUCUGACGCAAGAAAAAUAAACUAAAUAAUGAAUAACAAUAUUAAUAAUAAUAGAAAUAAUAAUAAUAAUAAUAAUAAUAAUGGUAAUGAUAAUGACUUCAUAACUAAAACCGUAAAAUACUAGAUGCGAAAGCCGAAUAAAAAUAUACCUAUGCGCGCAGAGAGAGUUAUUCAGCAAAGAUGAAACCAUGAUUAAUAAUAAUGAAUAAUAAUAAUAAUAAUAAUAAUAAUAACAACAACAAUAAGUAUGAAUUAAUGGAAAAUAAUAAUAAUAACAACAAUAACAACAACAACAACAACAACAUUAAUACUAAUAUGUAAUAAUAACACUAAUACUAAUAAUAGUAAUAAUUAAUGUGUAAUUGAAUAACAAGUAAUAAUAACAAUACUAAUAAUAAUAAUAAAAAUAAUAAUAAUCGAUAAGUAAUGAACGCUACAUCUCCCUCGGUAUGUUAUACAUAUUAUAAUUCCGUAUCUCCGUUUGUACGCAUUUUAACAAAUGAAAACAAGAAUUACUACAGGAUAUAUUUAAACGAGCAAGGAGAAAGAUGUAUAAA